UCCUGGCUUAGGAUGAACGCUAGCUACAGGCUUAACACAUGCAAGUCGAGGGGCAUCAUGUGAGGACUUCGGCCUUUUGAUGGCGACCGGCGAAUGGGUGAGUAACACGUAUCCGACCUGCCCUGUACUGGAGGAUAGCCUCCCGAAAGGGAAAUUAAUACUCCAUGUGUCAUGUUGCUUCAUGGUGGCAUGAUGAAAGAUUUAGUCGGUACAGGAUGGGGAUGCGUUCCAUUAGCCAGCCGGCGGGUAACGGCCACCGGGCGACGAUGGAUAGGGGUUCUGAGAGGAAGGUCCCCCACACUGGAACUGAGACACGGUCCAGACUCCUACGGGAGGCAGCAGUGAGGAAUAUUGGUCAAUGGCCGGAAGGCUGAACCAAGCCAAGUAGCGUGCGGGACGACGGCCCUACAGGUUGUAAACCGCUUUUGUACGGGGGUAAAACGCGCGACGAGUCGCGCCUUGCAAGUACCGUAAGAAAAAGGACCGGCUAAUUCCGUGCCAGCCGCUGC
This 509-nucleotide ribosomal RNA is filed under the name uncultured bacterium. RNAcentral's name for it is "bacterial SSU rRNA". It matches the Rfam family "Bacterial small subunit ribosomal RNA", at positions 17 to 518 of the family's 1533-position model. The record is from RNAcentral.